GAGUUUGAUCUUGGCUCAAAUUGAACGCUGGCGGCAUGCCUUACACAUGCAAGUCGAACGGCAGCACGGGAGCUUGCUCCUGGUGGCGAGUGGCGAACGGGUGAGUAAUGCAUCGGAACGUAUCCUGGAGUGGGGGAUAACGUAGCGAAAGUUACGCUAAUACCGCAUAUUCUGUGAGCAGGAAAGCGGGGGACCUUCGGGCCUCGCGCUCUUGGAGCGGCCGAUGUCGGAUUAGCUAGCUGGUGAGGUAAAGGCUCACCAAGGCGACGAUCCGUAGCAGGUCUGAGAGGAUGAUCUGCCACACUGGAACUGAGACACGGUCCAGACUCCUACGGGAGGCAGCAGUGGGAAUUUUGGACAAUGGGGCAACCCUGAUCCAGCCAUGCCGCGUGAGUGAAGAAGGCCU
Molecule: ribosomal RNA, 406 nt
Filed under: bacterium enrichment culture clone ALO1_GLFRUDD03F6A7M
Lineage: Bacteria
Description: bacterial SSU rRNA
Rfam family: Bacterial small subunit ribosomal RNA
Source: RNAcentral